Molecule: non-coding RNA, 192 nt
Organism: Oryza brachyantha (malo sina)
Lineage: Eukaryota; Viridiplantae; Streptophyta; Magnoliopsida; Poales; Poaceae
Source: Rfam
UUUUCGUUUUUCCGUGUCUAACGUUUGACCAUUCGUCUUAUUUGAAAUUUUUUUGCGAUUAAUAUUUUUAUUGUUACUAGAUGAUAAAAUAUGAACAGUACUUUAUACGUGACUAAUUUUUUUAAGUUUUUUACAAAAUUUUCAAAUAAAACGAAUGAUCACACGUUACGAAAAACGAAAAAUAAAAUUAUU